This 425-nucleotide ribosomal RNA is filed under the name uncultured bacterium. Its description in RNAcentral is "partial 16S ribosomal RNA". It matches the Rfam family "Bacterial small subunit ribosomal RNA", at positions 354 to 796 of the family's 1533-position model. The record is from RNAcentral.
GUGGGGAAUCUUGCGCAAUGGGCGAAAGCCUGACGCAGCCAUGCCGCGUGAAUGAUGAAGGUCUUAGGAUUGUAAAAUUCUUUCACCGGGGACGAUAAUGACGGUACCCGGAGAAGAAGCUCCGGCUAACUUCGUGCCAGCAGCCGCGGUAAUACGAAGGGGGCUAGCGUUGCUCGGAAUUACUGGGCGUAAAGGGCGCGUAGGCGGACAGCUUAGUCAGAGGUGAAAGCCCAGGGCUCAACCUUGGAAUUGCCUUUGAUACUGGCUGUCUUGAGUUUGGGAGAGGUGAGUGGAACUCCGAGUGUAGAGGUGAAAUUCGUAGAUAUUCGGAAGAACACCAGUGGCGAAGGCGACACACUGGCCCGUUACUGACGCUGAGGCGCGAAAGCGUGGGGAGCAAACAGGAUUAGAUACCCUUGUAGUCC